Molecule: ribosomal RNA, 958 nt
Filed under: Bacillus sp. TISAE14A
Lineage: Bacteria; Bacillati; Bacillota; Bacilli; Caryophanales; Bacillaceae
Description: bacterial SSU rRNA
Rfam family: Bacterial small subunit ribosomal RNA
Source: RNAcentral
CGCUGGCGGCGUGCUAUACAUGCAAGUCGAGCGGACAGAUGGGAGCUUGCUCCCUGAUGUUAGCGGCGGACGGGUGAGUAACACGUGGGUAACCUGCCUGUAAGACUGGGAUAACUCCGGGAAACCGGGGCUAAUACCGGAUGGUUGUUUGAACCGCAUGGUUCAAACAUAAAAGGUGGCUUCGGCUACCACUUACAGAUGGACCCGCGGCGCAUUAGCUAGUUGGUGAGGUAAYGGCUCACCAAGGCAACGAUGCGUAGCCGACCUGAGAGGGUGAUCGGCCACACUGGGACUGAGACACGGCCCAGACUCCUACGGGAGGCAGCAGUAGGGAAUCUUCCGCAAUGGACGAAAGUCUGACGGAGCAACGCCGCGUGAGUGAUGAAGGUUUUCGGAUCGUAAAGCUCUGUUGUUAGGGAAGAACAAGUACCGUUCGAAUAGGGCGGUACCUUGACGGUACCUAACCAGAAAGCCACGGCUAACUACGUGCCAGCAGCCGCGGUAAUACGUAGGUGGCAAGCGUUGUCCGGAAUUAUUGGGCGUAAAGGGCUCGCAGGCGGUUUCUUAAGUCUGAUGUGAAAGCCCCCGGCUCAACCGGGGAGGGUCAUUGGAAACUGGGGAACUUGAGUGCAGAAGAGGAGAGUGGAAUUCCACGUGUAGCGGUGAAAUGCGUAGAGAUGUGGAGGAACACCAGUGGCGAAGGCGACUCUCUGGUCUGUAACUGACGCUGAGGAGCGAAAGCGUGGGGAGCGAACAGGAUUAGAUACCCUGGUAGUCCACGCCGUAAACGAUGAGUGCUAAGUGUUAGGGGGUUUCCGCCCCUUAGUGCUGCAGCUAACGCAUUAAGCACUCCGCCUGGGGAGUACGGUCGCAAGACUGAAACUCAAAGGAAUUGACGGGGGCCCGCACAAGCGGUGGAGCAUGUGGUUUAAUUCAAAGCAACGCGAAGAACCUUACC